Cyprinus carpio carpio is the source of this 3103-nucleotide long non-coding RNA. Lineage: Eukaryota; Metazoa; Chordata; Actinopteri; Cypriniformes; Cyprinidae. The record is from Ensembl.
AUGACGGAGCCAGUCGACUCAGGUGGAGCAUCUGCGUCCUCCCUAAAUGAGGCUCUUAACUGCACAUCUCCAUCUUCCUGUGCGUUUGAUGGCGGCACCAGGCUGAAACAAUUCUGUCCCGCUCGCCGUCGGCCCUGCAGCAGCUCUGUGCUGCCACCAGCAGUUAGACAACAGUUCAAAGAUGCAUGCGGCGAUCACUUCCCGCCCUGGAGUUUUCACUGAAAAGCCAUCAUGAGUUUUCCAGCUAUCAGCAGCAGCCGCUGGUGGUCUCUAAGUUAUUCAUAUAAGCCGGUGGAGGCCCUGCGCUAUGCCUACUGUUGCUGCCUAUGUUUUGAAAAUGCAACAAAGCAAUAGAGAUGCAUUUAUUUUUUCUUGUAAUGCCUUAGUAGGGUGUGUUUGAGUGCGUGUGUUUGAACGCACCCCAGUGCCGACAUUUAGACGCCGCCUUCUAAUUGAUUUGUGCACAGAUAGGGUGUUUAUCAGGCUCUGUUCUCCUGUUGGCGCUCCGUAUGUUUUCAGUGAUUGCAUCAAUACCCACCCCUGUCCUCGCUGUGCUCCGGAGCCAUCAACACUCUCAGUGGGGAUACAAAGCCCCUGCUGGAAAACUAUUGGAAUUUCCCUUUGGCUGUACUGUCACUUUUUCCUCGAGGCCUGGAUGGGCGCUGGCCUCACAACCCAGACUGAAGCAGGACCAGCCCAUGGAAAAUGAGGACUAAAGGCUGACCUGUGGGACAGAUAAACACUUAAGAGGUGUGUCAGUCAUGCAAGAAGCUCACAUGGAAAAUGUUUGUUGUAUAUUUCAAGUACUGUAGUUACUUGGAUUUCAUUUGAUAUGGAUUGGGUUCAGUUUGAAUGGAAUAAAGUAGAUCAAGAGUGUACAAGAUAAAGAAAAAGAAAAUUGUAUUCAAAAUAUUCAAAGAUCAAAUUAUCUGACAUUUAUUGACAGCGUUGGGGGUAAUGCAUUACAAGUAAUUCUAGUUAUGUAAUCAAUUACUUUUUUUCAAGUAACUAGUAAUGCAUUACUUUUACAUUUACAAUGAAAUAUAUGAGUUACUUUUUCAAAUAAGUAACGCAACUUGCUUUGUUUUCCCACUUAUUCUUUCCUGUCUCUGUGUUGAGAGAAAUCGUGAGUGAGGUGCAGAGGCAUUUCCUUCGGCCUGAGGAUUAUUAAGGUCACUUUUGGUGUGAAAGACAAACAAACAAACAAACAAACAAACAAACAAACAAACAAACAAACAAAAACCCAGUUCAGGUGACAAAAGGUAACACAAGCAUAGUGCAAUGCAUUACUUUUAAAAGUAAAUUUUCCCAACACUGACCCCUAAUAUAUAAUAGAAAAAUAUAUAUUAUCAAAACAUAAAAAAGUUGCUUUCACAGAUUUGCUGCACUGAGCAAGAGAAGGCUGUUUGGUGUGAAAUAUAUUUUCAUGAAUUGUUACGCUACAUUGUGCUUCAUACAUCGUAAUUUAACACAAAUGUAAUCAAGACGUUUAAUCAGCUGAACAAUCAGUAUGUUGUUAAACAACAGUACAAUCCAUUGAACGUGCUGUUUUUCUAUACCUCAGCUUUGUUUUCAUUCCUGUCAAAAAUUAUAUAGUCCUACCCUGACUAAGGUCUAUUGGCAAAAGGCAAUGAACCUUUUUUACUCUACAAAGCUUUACUGAAAUUUCACUUAUGUGACUGCAUCUUUAGGGUUGCAUUUGGAGCAGUGCCUAUCAUGCCAUUUUGAUUGAGGCAGUAAUGCUUUGUCAGGCCACUGAAAGAAACAGGUUGCAUUUCCAUUUGGUGCCACUAGAGUCGCCAGAAAUUACCUUUUAAAAUCUAUUUUUGACCUUUUAAUGAACAUUAUGGACAGAGAGUGCAGGAAAUGACACCACAGAAGAAGCAGUAUUGUGAUAAACUGAAAAUGGGAAAUGUUGUUGCCCACAGGUUGCUAUUUCAUAGAUUUCUCACUCAUGUUUUAUUUAACAAUCUACUUUAUCACAGAUAUUUUUCUAAAGAUUCCAUUUGGGGAAAUAAAAGAAUAGAGCUAUAAAAUCAGUGUGGAAAGAAACUCAGAUCAUUUGGUUGUGGACAAAUCUGAAGAGGAAUUUCGGUCACAGUCUUGUCUGAGACUUUGUUAAGAUCUCAUUUGAAACGCUAGAGAAGACACAGAUGAGACUGACUUUUCAUUCAUUCAUUCAUUCAUUCAUUCAUUCAUUCAUUCAGGAAAAACCAAGCAUUUUCUGUUUCCUAUUGACAUCAAUAGUAUUUUAUUCCAGACUAUGGAAGUCAAUGGGGACCAACAACUGCUUGCUUACCAGCAUUCUUCAAAAUAUCCCAUCUCAGAAAAAAGAAACUCAUGCAGGUCUGGAACAACUUGAGGGUUAGUAAAUGAUGACAAAAUUUUCAUUUUUGGGUGAACUAUUGCUUUAAUUUGAACAAAGCAGUUUUAAAUGAAACUGAUACUUCACGCUCUGCUGCGAUUGAUUUAAUUUGAUGUUUUGGACUCACUUAAGACUGAUGCCCCUCACACAUGACUGGUAACGUGUUUGACAGUUGAGACGUCUAUCCAUCUUUCUCCGUACCUUUCCGAUUCAUCCAUCUUUCUGCUCUCCUUACCCAUGCAUCCAUCUUCCUGGUAUCAUUCCUCAUCCGUCCAUCUUCUCGCUGACGCUGUCAGAAGAGGCAGUGAGAAGGUUUUCAUGGCUUAUCCACAAUGUUGCUGGUACUGACAUCUUUAAGCUUGUCCGAACUUAUACCACAGCUCACAUCCCAUCAAUCAGAGAGAGGAAGAGAGAAAGUGAGGGAUGGGAAUAAAGAUAAAGAGUAAAACAGAAGAGUGCUCAUAGAGUUGGGGGUAGCGACACUAGUAACUACAUUUUUCAGUAGCAUUACAGUAGCUCAGCUGCUUUCAAAAUAGUGUAGCUUUUAACAACCUUUGUAGCAAUCAAAGUCACAGUUUUUAAAGUCACAAUUUAUUUGUGCUUGUAGCUCUUUCUCAUAUUUCUAGUUGGAAAGUCUGAUUUAUUCUAGUGACCCAGUUGUUGAAAACUGUCAUUUUUAAUAGGCUUAUGUAGGUUUGGAAAGUAUCAUCACAGUAGCCUUACAGCAAAUGUGGAUGG